GCUACAGGCUUAACACAUGCAAGUCGAGGGGCAGCAUGACGAUAGCUUGCUAUCGUUGAUGGCGACCGGCGCACGGGUGAGUAACGCGUAUCCAACCUGCCCUUGUCCAUCGGAUAACCCGUCGAAAGGCGGCCUAACACGAUAUGCAGUUCUCAGCAGGCAUCUAACGAGAACGAAAUGUAAAGGAGAAGGAUGGGGAUGCGUCUGAUUAGCUUGUUGGCGGGGUAACGGCCCACCAAGGCGACGAUCAGUAGGGGUUCUGAGAGGAGGGUCCCCCACAUUGGAACUGAGACACGGUCCAAACUCCUACGGGAGGCAGCAGUGAGGAAUAUUGGUCAAUGGGCGAGAGCCUGAACCAGCCAAGUAGCGUGCAGGAUGACGGCCCUAUGGGUUGUAAACUGCUUUUAUGCGGGGAUAAAGUGAGCCACGUGUGGCUUAUUGCAGGUACCGCAUGAAUAAGGACCGGCUAAUUCCGCGCCAGCAGCCGCGGUAAUACGGAAGGUCCGGGCGUUAUCCGGAUUUAUUGGG
This 528-nucleotide ribosomal RNA is filed under the name uncultured organism. RNAcentral describes it as "bacterial SSU rRNA". It matches the Rfam family "Bacterial small subunit ribosomal RNA", at positions 39 to 558 of the family's 1533-position model. The record is from RNAcentral.